This 547-nucleotide ribosomal RNA is filed under the name uncultured bacterium. RNAcentral describes it as "partial 16S ribosomal RNA". The record is from RNAcentral.
UAACCUUGCGGCCGUACUCCCCAGGCGGAGUGCUUAACGCGUUAACUACGUCACCGAAGCGCAUGCGCCCCGACAACUAGCACUCAUCGUUUACGGCGUGGACUACCAGGGUAUCUAAUCCUGUUCGCUCCCCACGCUUUCGCACCUCAGCGUCAGUAUCGGACCAGGUAGCCGCCUUCGCCACCGGUGUUCUUCCUAUAUCUACGCAUUUCACCGCUACACAGGAAAUUCCACCACCCUCUACCGUACUCUAGCUUGCCAGUUUUGGAUGCAGUUCCCAGGUUGAGCCCGGGGCUUUCACAUCCAACUUAACAAACCACCUACGCGCGCUUUACGCCCAGUAAUUCCGAUUAACGCUUGCACCCUCUGUAUUACCGCGGCUGCUGGCACAGAGUUAGCCGGUGCUUAUUCUGUCGGUAACGUCAAAAUAGCAACGUAUUAAGUUACUACCCUUCCUCCCAACUUAAAGUGCUUUACAAUCCGAAGACCUUCUUCACACACGCGGCAUGGCUGGAUCAGGCUUUCGCCCAUUGUCCAAUAUUCCCCA